RNAcentral lists this ribosomal RNA (426 nucleotides) under Vibrio tubiashii. RNAcentral's name for it is "bacterial SSU rRNA". It matches the Rfam family "Bacterial small subunit ribosomal RNA", at positions 258 to 676 of the family's 1533-position model. Lineage: Bacteria; Pseudomonadati; Pseudomonadota; Gammaproteobacteria; Vibrionales; Vibrionaceae. RNAcentral also lists the same sequence under 3 other names. The record is from RNAcentral.
UAAUGGCUCACCAAGGCGACGAUCCCUAGCUGGUCUGAGAGGAUGAUCAGCCACACUGGAACUGAGACACGGUCCAGACUCCUACGGGAGGCAGCAGUGGGGAAUAUUGCACAAUGGGCGCAAGCCUGAUGCAGCCAUGCCGCGUGUGUGAAGAAGGCCUUCGGGUUGUAAAGCACUUUCAGUCGUGAGGAAGGUGGUAGUGUUAAUAGCACUAUCAUUUGACGUUAGCGACAGAAGAAGCACCGGCUAACUCCGUGCCAGCAGCCGCGGUAAUACGGAGGGUGCGAGCGUUAAUCGGAAUUACUGGGCGUAAAGCGCAUGCAGGUGGUUUGUUAAGUCAGAUGUGAAAGCCCGGGGCUCAACCUCGGAAUAGCAUUUGAAACUGGCAGACUAGAGUACUGUAGAGGGGGGUAGAAUUUCAGGUGU